This 442-nucleotide ribosomal RNA is filed under the name uncultured bacterium. RNAcentral describes it as "partial 16S ribosomal RNA". It matches the Rfam family "Bacterial small subunit ribosomal RNA", at positions 339 to 795 of the family's 1533-position model. The record is from RNAcentral.
CUACGGGUUGCACCAGUGGGGAAUAUUGGACAAUGGACCAAAAGUCUGAUCCAGCAAUUCUGUGUGCACGAUGAAGGUCUUCGGAUUGUAAAGUGCUUUCAGUUGGGAAGAAGCAAGUGAUGGUACCAACAGAAGAAGCGACGGCUAAAUACGUGCCAGCAGCCGCGGUAAUACGUAUGUCGCAAGCGUUAUCCGGAUUUAUUGGGCGUAAAGCGCGUCUAGGCGGAAAAAUAAGUCUGAUGUUAAAAUGCGGGGCUCAACUCCGUAUUGCGUUGGAAACUGUUUUUCUAGAGUACUGGAGAGGUGGGCGGAACUACAAGUGUAGAGGUGAAAUUCGUAGAUAUUUGUAGGAAUGCCGAUGGAGAAGUCAGCUCACUGGACAGAUACUGACGCUAAAGCGCGAAAGCGUGGGGAGCAAACAGGAUUAGAUACCCCCGUAGUC